CGCAUGCCUUGAUGCCUGGGUUCGCGGCAUGCGAUGCGAUCCAUGCUAACGUGAGAACAUGCAUGACUCUCGGCAACGGAUAUCUUGGCUCUCGCAUCGAUGAAGAACGUAGCAAAAUGCGAUACUUGGUGUGAAUUGCAGAAUCCCGUGAAUCAUCGAGUUUUUGAACGCAAGUAG
RNAcentral lists this ribosomal RNA (177 nucleotides) under Nothoscordum gracile. RNAcentral's name for it is "5.8S ribosomal RNA". The stretch from base 65 to 177 matches the Rfam family "5.8S ribosomal RNA", at positions 1 to 113 of the family's 154-position model. Rfam says of the family: 5.8S ribosomal RNA (5.8S rRNA) is a component of the large subunit of the eukaryotic ribosome. It is transcribed by RNA polymerase I as part of the 45S precursor that also contains 18S and 28S rRNA. The record is from RNAcentral. Lineage: Eukaryota; Viridiplantae; Streptophyta; Magnoliopsida; Asparagales; Amaryllidaceae.